RNAcentral lists this ribosomal RNA (585 nucleotides) under uncultured bacterium. RNAcentral describes it as "partial 16S ribosomal RNA". It matches the Rfam family "Bacterial small subunit ribosomal RNA", at positions 355 to 1375 of the family's 1533-position model. The record is from RNAcentral.
UGGGGAAUUUUGGACAAUGGGCGAAAGCCUGAUCCAGCAAUGCCGCGUGUGUGAAGAAGGCCUUCGGGUUGUAAAGCACUUUUGUCCGGAAAGAAAUCCCUGGCUCUAAUACAGUCGGGGGAUGACGGUACCGGAAGAAUAAGCACCGGCUAACUACGUGCCAGCAGCCGCGGUAAUACGUAGGGUGCAAGCGUUAAUCGGAAUUACUGGGCGUAAAGCGUGCGCAGGCGGUUUGCUAAGACCGAUGUGAAAUCCCCGGGCUCAACCUGGGAACUGCAUUGGUGACUGGCAGGCUAGAGUAUGGCAGAGGGGGGUAGAAUUCCACGUGUAGCAGUGAAAUGCGUAGAGAUGUGGAGGAAUACCGAUGGCGAAGGCAGCCCCCUGGGCCAAUACUGACGCUCAUGCACGAAAGCGUGGGGAGCAAACAGGAUUAGAUACCCUGGUAGUCCACGCCCUAAACGAUGUCAACUAGUUGUUGGGGAUUCAUUUCCUUAGUAACGUAGCUAACGCGUGAAGUUGACCGCCUGGGGAGUACGGUCGCAAGAUUAAAACUUAAAGGAAUUGACGGGGUCAUAGCUGUUUCCU